RNAcentral lists this ribosomal RNA (404 nucleotides) under bacterium. RNAcentral describes it as "partial 16S ribosomal RNA". It matches the Rfam family "Bacterial small subunit ribosomal RNA", at positions 355 to 777 of the family's 1533-position model. The record is from RNAcentral.
UGGGGAAUAUUGCACAAUGGGGGAAACCCUGAUGCAGCGACGCCGCGUGAACGAAGAAGGUAUUCGUAUCGUAAAGUUCUGUCCUAUGGGAAGAUAAUGACAGUACCAUAGAAGAAAGCUCCGGCUAAAUACGUGCCAGCAGCCGCGGUAAUACGUAUGGAGCGAGCGUUGUCCGGAAUUAUUGGGCGUAAAGGGUACGCAGGCGGUUUAAUAAGUCGAAUGUUAAAGAUCGGGGCUCAACCCCGCAAAGCAUUGGAAACUGAUAAACUUGAGUAGUGGAGAGGAAAGUGGAAUUCCUAGUGUAGUGGUGAAAUACGUAGAUAUUAGGAGGAAUACCAGUAGCGAAGGCGACUUUCUGGACAUAAACUGACGCUGAGGUACGAAAGCGUGGGGAGCAAACAGGA